CGUCUGCUGAAUCAGUUGUGGG
Molecule: unclassified non-coding RNA, 22 nt
Filed under: Mus musculus (house mouse)
Lineage: Eukaryota; Metazoa; Chordata; Mammalia; Rodentia; Muridae
Description: oocyte_clustered_small_RNA12951
Source: RNAcentral